CAGCCGCCGCGGUAAUACGAAGGGGGCUAGCGUUGCUCGGAAUGACUGGGCGUAAAGGGCGCGUAGGCGGCGGCCAAAGUCAGGCGUGAAAUUCCCGGGCUCAACCUGGGGGCUGCGUUUGAUACUUGGUUGCUUGAGUGGGGAAGAGGGUCGUGGAAUUCCCAGUGUAGAGGUGAAAUUCGUAGAUAUUGGGAAGAACACCGGUGGCGAAGGCGGCGACCUGGUCCUUUACUGACGCUGAGGCGCGAAAGCGUGGGGAGCAAACAGGAUUAGAUACCCGCGUAGUCCCUGUCUCUUAUAC
RNAcentral lists this ribosomal RNA (301 nucleotides) under uncultured bacterium. RNAcentral's name for it is "partial 16S ribosomal RNA". It matches the Rfam family "Bacterial small subunit ribosomal RNA", at positions 509 to 807 of the family's 1533-position model. The record is from RNAcentral.